GCUGGGGUAGCUCAGGGGUAGAGCAAUUCAUUGGUAAUGAAUAGGUCGGAGGUUCAAUUCCUCUCCUCAGCACCA
RNAcentral lists this transfer RNA (75 nucleotides) under Alphaproteobacteria bacterium. RNAcentral's name for it is "tRNA-Thr". It matches the Rfam family "tRNA". From Rfam's summary of the family: Transfer RNA (tRNA) molecules are approximately 80 nucleotides in length. Their secondary structure includes four short double-helical elements and three loops (D, anti-codon, and T loops). RNAcentral also lists the same sequence under 1 other name. Lineage: Bacteria; Pseudomonadati; Pseudomonadota; Alphaproteobacteria. The record is from RNAcentral.